GACGAACGCUGGCGGCGUGCUUAACACAUGCAAGUCGAACGGAAAGGCCCUGCUUUUGUGGGGUGCUCGAGUGGCGAACGGGUGAGUAACACGUGAGUAACCUGCCCUUGACUUUGGGAUAACUUCAGGAAACUGGGGCUAAUACCGGAUAGGAGCUCCUGCUGCAUGGUGGGGGUUGGAAAGUUUCGGCGGUUGGGGAUGGACUCGCGGCUUAUCAGCUUGUUGGUGGGGUAGUGGCUUACCAAGGCUUUGACGGGUAGCCGGCCUGAGAGGGUGACCGGCCACAUUGGGACUGAGAGACGGCCCAGACUCCUACGGUAGGCAGCGGUGGGGAAUAUUGCACAAUGGGCGGAAGCCUGAUGCAGCAACGCCGCGUGCGGGAUGACGGCCUUCGGGUUGUAAACCGCUUUCGCCUGUUACGAAGCGUGAGUGACGGUAAUGGGUAAAGAAGCACCGGCUAACUACGUG
RNAcentral lists this ribosomal RNA (468 nucleotides) under uncultured bacterium. RNAcentral's name for it is "partial 16S ribosomal RNA". It matches the Rfam family "Bacterial small subunit ribosomal RNA", at positions 28 to 507 of the family's 1533-position model. The record is from RNAcentral.